CACCCGCGCAACGGAGGAGGGGCGCUGUGCCCUCUCCCCAACGGCGGUCAGCUUGGAACGCCUGCCCGGCGCACGCCCGGGGCCGGGGAGCCGAACUCGGUGCCAGCCGCACCCGGGCGGGUUGCUGGUGCGCCCUCCCCUCGCCCCCGUCCCUGGGGUCCUUGACCCAGGCUCUUGGGGCUAGCCUAUCUUCUGAGGAGCACAAGGUCCCUGGGGGCUCAGGGAAGAGAAAUUGGAGAAAGGGGGAGGAAGCCCCCAAGAUGGAUCACCCAUUGCCUGGUUUCGCAGGAGACUGUCCGCCUUCAGUUCUCCAGCAGCUCGGGGAUCAUGGCCCACUGAACCCCCAAGCGCUUUCACCCGAACCCAAGGAGGACGACCAGGAAAGACGGGAACUCGCGUAGACACGCCCGGAAGCCCUUGUCAUAGGGUGAAGGAGGUCAUCAUUACCACCCCUGCUUUCAGCCAUUUCUUCAUUCAUUCAAUCAACAAACUGGCUGAGCUGCAACCCUGAGCCGGGGAAUUCAGCCACUCCAGACACAGCCCCUGCCCUCCGGGAAGUCUCGGGAGACCUGGCUAGUCUGGCUGGGAGAAGUCACACGUUGAUUGUCUUGGAAGUGAGAUGGCAUUUACACAAUGGAGGCUGCACUGCCAGCAGGCAAAAAUAACCAGUUAAUUCAGUGGCUUAAAGAAACCAAACCUACCCACAACGCUUGACCUCCCAUUGAUCCAUCUGCGACACCGGCAGUGGCUACCAUUUAUUGAGUGCUGAUGGUGUCACCUGGGAUUGACUUAGUGGUCUCUGGCGCUAGUUCCGAAGUUGAUUCUGUCUGGAGAGCUUAAUGCAGUGUUCAGACCUCAGGGUCCGAACCUGAGGGUCACCCAAAGAUGAGUGGGACAUAGCUGUGUGACCUCGGCUGAGUGCUUUCACCUCUCCAACCUCAGUUUCCUCUUCUGCAAAAUGGGGUGGCUUCAUGGCACCUUCACGUGGUGUGAUUGCGAGGAAUGAAGGGAUCGAUGCCUUGCAAGUAGAGGAGAAGGGGCCGGAUACAUCUUAGUUGUUAUGUUAUUUAAUCAUCUUGGCAACCCCGGGAGGGAGGAACCACUAUCAUUUUAUUUUCCAUUUUGCAGUUGAGGACAAUGAUGAUUCCAGCACAGACAGGGCCCCUGACGGGGCAGUAGGAAAGGAGAAUUGCUUUGGAAGGAGCAUAGGCUGGACUGCCAGCACUCAUAGGAGGCUUCGUGUGUGCCCAGGACUGCGAGAAUUAAAUACAGGACACCCAGUUCAGUUUGAAUUUCAGAUAAACUAUGAAUAAUGAUUAGUUGUCUGGUCUAGGGACAAAUGCUGAGACGUCUGCAAGGCCAUCUAGAACGCCAGGAAGGCACUGUGGGAACCCAGAGGAACAGGGCACGACGGUGCCCAACAGUCCCAGGAAAACACUCUGUGCCCUUCACCUACAUCUCCAUGCCAGGGUUGGAGACAGGGUCCUGUCCCAUCUGCACAUGGAGCCCUCCGGACGGGUGAAUCUGUCGUCAGUUUGGGGCUUGGGAAUCGGUGUCCAAGAGCUGGCUUCAAAGGCAAUGAAACUGGCAUUGCAUCUUUGAAGGCAGCACAGGCUACAUCUGUCUUAUUCUCCGUGUCCACAGCCCCUAGCAGUGACUGGCAUGUGGUCACGCCCAAUAAAUAUUUGCUGAAUGAAUGAACGCAAAACAAUUUGCAAUGUGGACUAGUCCCUUAAAGUAUGUGUAUCUGCAACCGGUAAGUCUACCACAUAUCUUAAGGAAAUAAUCAGAGAAGUGAACAGUUUUAAGGAGAAGAACGUUGAUCCUAUCUUCAUUCGUAAAAGCAAAAGUGCAAUGAAAUUAAAAACAAAUAGAAGAUGCGUAAAUAAAAGGCAGUGAUCAUAAAACUGUUCAAAACCUUGUUUUCAAAAAUUAUCUGAUGAUAUAAAGUCCCAUAUAAACUAAAUUUAAAAAUAGGCUGCAGAACCGAUCUCAACUUUUUACAAAAAUAUUAUUAGAAAAAGGAUUAAAAUGAUAUUUGCCAAAAUAUUAACAGUGGUCAGCUUUGUGCAAU
RNAcentral lists this long non-coding RNA (2074 nucleotides) under Homo sapiens (human). RNAcentral's name for it is "HSALNT0269600". Lineage: Eukaryota; Metazoa; Chordata; Mammalia; Primates; Hominidae. The record is from RNAcentral.